Molecule: transfer RNA, 66 nt
Filed under: bovine gut metagenome
Rfam family: tRNA
About the family: Transfer RNA (tRNA) molecules are approximately 80 nucleotides in length.
Source: RNAcentral
UCAUAGCUCAGUGGAUAGAGCACCAGAUUCCGAAUCUGGGUGUCGGAGGUUCGAGUCCUCUUGGGC